AUAUUUACCUGGCAAGGGAGAGAUACUAGUGUCAUGAAAGUGGUUUUCCCAGGCGGGAUUAGGCUCACCCAUUGUACUGUGAGUGCGCUGAUACCUGCAAUUUCCCCAAAUGUGGGAAACUCAACUGCGCAAUUGUGGUAGUGGGGGGCUGUGUUUCCAAUUUCCCAUU
Small nuclear RNA from Molossus molossus (Pallas's mastiff bat), 169 nucleotides. RefSeq annotates it as U1 spliceosomal RNA. The transcript has a single exon. NCBI's taxonomy places the organism in Eukaryota, Metazoa, Chordata, Mammalia, Chiroptera, Molossidae. The record is from RefSeq and is a predicted model, not a curated record.